GACGAACGCUGGCGGCGCGCUUAACACAUGCAAGUCGAGCGAUGAAAUUUCGACAGAUCCCUUCGGGGUGAAGAUGAAAUGGAUUAGCGGCGGACGGGUGAGUAACACGUGAGUAACCUGCCUUUGACAUUGGGAUAGCCUCGGGAAACUGGGAUUAAUACCAAAUGACACUAACUGAUCACAUGAUCAAUUAGUCAAAGAAAUUCGGUCAAAGAUGGACUCGCGGCUGAUUAGCUAGUUGGUGAGGUAACGGCCCACCAAGGCGACGAUCAGUAGCCGGCCUGAGAGGGUGAUCGGCCACAUUGGAACUGAGACACGGUCCAAACUCCUACGGGAGGCAGCAGUGGGGAAUAUUGCACAAUGGGGGAAACCAUGAUGCAGCGACGCCGCGUGAGCGAAGAAGGCCUUCGGGUCGUAAAGCUCUUUUAUGAGGGAAGAUAAUGACGGUACCUCAAGAAAAAGCCCCGGCUAACUACGUG
RNAcentral lists this ribosomal RNA (479 nucleotides) under uncultured bacterium. RNAcentral describes it as "partial 16S ribosomal RNA". It matches the Rfam family "Bacterial small subunit ribosomal RNA", at positions 28 to 507 of the family's 1533-position model. The record is from RNAcentral.